UUUCCCUCUUUCUUAUCCUCUCUCCCUCCCUCCUCCUCUCCCUCUUUUCACUUUCUCCUCUCCCUCUUCCCUCCCUCCUUUGUCUUUCCCUCUCACACCACACACACAUCCCUACACAAUCUAUGCUUUUCUAUAGUCUUGGGAUAAAAACGGGUAUACAUUGAAGCACAAGAGUCCAUUAACCAAAAAGCUCUGCCCUGCUGCCAAGGUUUUAAAUUUUCACCGCAGCUACAGACCAUGCAUUUGAGCUAUGGAAAACUGCCUUUAUCUCUAUGAGAUCAUUUUGGCGCGCUGUUGUGCGUCAGGAGCCAUUUUCUUUCACUGGUAUCUGUUAGCCCGGUGGGGGAGGGUCAGCAGUGGAACUUCAAAGGUAAGAAAAAGGAGGCUUGGGUAUUUAUGAUUAGAGAUUGCCCCCGGGAUUUUUACCAGGCAAGGCGAGUGGUCAUUUAAUUAGGAGAGGCAAUGUAAGCAUCUCUGUUACUGAUCUUUGUACAGAUGCCUUCUUAGUACUAUGAAUAUCGGGCGACAGAAGGAGAGGAAAGGACUAAGACCUUUGAUGAAGGGAAACAUGCCGGCUCUGGGAGGCAAGAUACCUUCCCUUAUAUGAACAUUUCUGGUAUAUUUCCUACAGAACACAAUUCCUGCAGCAUGCCCAAUCCCUUUAGUCUCAGGACUCCUUUACCCUCUUUGAAAUCGAGGACCCGAAAGACAGCUUUGAAGUCCAGAAGUCAGUCUUUUACCUUUAGUAUUUUAACCCCGAUGUACCUAAUAGAGUGUCUUGACCGAAACAGAGGCUUUCAGAAGGCUCACUGAUGAAUUAGUUCCUGGGAUUCUGCCCCUCUCCACUAGAAAUGGAAGCUAGCGGCCCAUAGGUCUUUGAGCUUGCUCCUUUAGGCAAUAGGGAUGGUUGGCUUGGAAGCAGAACAUCUUUACCCUGGAGGCUGUGUCGGGAUCUGGAUUUCUGAAAUUUCAAAGGCACGAGUAGGAAUGAAAUUUCCUCUUUGUACUGGUGAUCCAGCAGCCAUAGCAGGAACUAACCCUUGGGGGCCCGAUCAGAGUUUGCUUGUUUGUUUCAAGAGAGGAGAUCUAAGACUACCACUCCCAGGAUUAUGUCCCCAAAAAAGUAAGAAAGGAGAUGAAAAGAAAAAGAAGGAAAAGAAAAGAAGAAGAAGAAAAGAAAAGAACUCUUGGACUAAAAUAUUUUCAGCCAACUAUGUUUUUAGUGGCAAAGACCUUGAAAUUAAGGGGUUGCCCAUCAAUUGUGGAAUGUUGAACAAAUUAUGGUUUACAAGUUUUCCUCCUUUUUUCAAUGGGCAUUUACCAUCUGUUAACCCAUAAAAGGGUUUAUGAAUAUAUCUUCCUAGCUAGUACGGAGUUUUUAAAGUUUUUCAGUUUGUAAUGAUGCCUAAUAGUUUCUAUUAUAAUGGGGAAAGGGUUCAUGAGGACCCAGACAGUAUUAGCUUGUGUGGAGAUCUCAGCUUAAUACACAUCCCCUUCCACCAAAUGCAAGAUCAUUAAAGAGAAUCUUUCUGUAAUUUCUAAUGGUGAUGGCCUAAAUCUAAAUCAGCAUCAAAACCCACUCCAUUUCUUCUUCUUUUACUUUUUUAAAACCCUUACCCUCUGUCUUAAUAAAAUUUCUAAGACAGGAGAGCA
Molecule: long non-coding RNA, 1653 nt
Organism: Monodelphis domestica (gray short-tailed opossum)
Lineage: Eukaryota; Metazoa; Chordata; Mammalia; Didelphimorphia; Didelphidae
Source: Ensembl